AUUGAACGCUGGCGGCAGGCCUAACACAUGCAAGUCGAGCGGAUGAAGGGAGCUUGCUCCUGGAUUCAGCGGCGGACGGGUGAGUAAUGCCUAGGAAUCUGCCUGGCAGUGGGGGAUAACGUCCGCAAACGGGCGCUAAUACCGCAUACGUCCUGAGGGAGAAAGUUGGUGAUCUUCGGACCUCACGCUAUCAGAUGAGCCUAGGUCGGAUUAGCUAGUUGGUGGGGUAAAGGCCUACCGAGGCGACGAUCCGUAACUGGUCUGAGAGAAUGAUCAGUCACACUGGAACUGGGACACGGUCCAGACUCCUAAGGGAGGCAGCAGUGGGGAAUAUUAGACAGUGGGCGAAAGCAUGAUCCAGCCAUGGCGCGUGUGUGAAGAAGGUCUUCGGAUUGUAAAGCACUUUAAGUUGGGAGGAAGGGCAGUAAGUUAAUACCUUGCUGUUUUGACGUUACCAACAGAAUAAGCACCGGCUAACUUCGUG
RNAcentral lists this ribosomal RNA (484 nucleotides) under uncultured bacterium. RNAcentral's name for it is "partial 16S ribosomal RNA". It matches the Rfam family "Bacterial small subunit ribosomal RNA", at positions 30 to 507 of the family's 1533-position model. The record is from RNAcentral.